CACCGGCGGCUCGAGUGGUAACCGUUAUUAUUGGGUCUAAAGGGUCUGUAGCCGGCCGGAUAAGUCUCUUGAGAAAUCCAGCAGCUCAACUGUUGGGCUUUCAGGAGAUACUGUCUGGCUCGAGGCCGGGAGAGGUGAGAGGUACUUCAGGGGUAGGGGUGAAAUCUUGUAAUCCUUGAAGGACCACCAGUGGCGAAGGCGUCUCACCAGAACGGACCUGACGGCAAGGGACGAAAGCUAGGGGCACGAACCGG
This 254-nucleotide ribosomal RNA is filed under the name uncultured bacterium. Its description in RNAcentral is "partial 16S ribosomal RNA". It matches the Rfam family "Archaeal small subunit ribosomal RNA", at positions 474 to 727 of the family's 1478-position model. The record is from RNAcentral.